CCGCCCCCAGGAGCCGACGAGUGGCGGCGGCGGCGGCGGCAGCGGCCCCAGGACCGGGUUCCCUCAGACAAGAGGGCGGGCGGAGGAGGAAGCGG
This 95-nucleotide microRNA precursor is filed under the name Mus caroli (Ryukyu mouse). Its description in RNAcentral is "miRNA (MGP_CAROLIEiJ_G0007178.1)". Lineage: Eukaryota; Metazoa; Chordata; Mammalia; Rodentia; Muridae. The record is from RNAcentral.